AGCCGGUUUCCGAAACGUUAUUCAAAUCUUCGAUCAUCUAAUCGAGCUGUUAGAUUUGAUCAACUGUUAACCAGUGACCAGUUUCUCAAACGUCGAUCAUCUUAAAAUUAUAUGAUCGUAGAAAAUCGAUUAUCUGACAUACGAUUUGGUAUCGAUACUGUCACAAUCGGCUGUCAUCCUUCAAAAUUUCAUUUUAUAACCAAAAAAUUUCAAUCCAUAGUCCAUAGUAAAUAACUACAUAAUUUAUAAAAUUAAAAAAUAUAUUAAAAAUGAGCAAUACCAACGGAAAUCCUCAACGCAUAAAUUAUACUGAGAGAGAGAAAUGUUUGCUGUUGGAAAUAUGUAAUUGGAAAAUACAACCAUAUUAUAAUUGAAAACAAAUAAUGUACCAAUGCUAUGUCCACCAACCAAAACAAUGAAACCUGGGAAAAAAUAGCACUGGAAUUUAAUGCCAGCGCUGAAUUUCCCAGAACUCCCAAGUAGCUGAACACUGAAAAGUAGAAGAGGAAAAUAUUCAAAAAUAUAAUGAGCAGAAGGUUUUGGACCAUUUGAAGAGAGACCAAACUGCGGACAAAAAAGACAUACUUGCACAGAUGUAGGGGCACAAAUGUUGAGUUUGAUUGGCAUGGCAAUCAAAUCCAACCUUUACCCAACAGUUGUGACAGUGCAUCUGGUUUCUUCACAUCUGUUGCACAAGAUAGUCAAGUGGAAGUAGAUUACCUACAAUUGGAAGACACAUAGCAGACGUCCAAUGUACCCUCUACUUCCACUGUGCUGCUCAGUACACCCACGACAACUGCUGUCCUGCCCAAGAAGACAGCCAAGAUGUCUCAGGCUCGUUCAAAAAAUAAAAAAUUAAAAGAUGUAGGGAGCGAAACCCUUAAUGUAUCUUUUACAAAAAAAAAUUGAAACAGCAAGACUAGAGAAAAGAAGUAAGAUAGUAUUUUUUUCAACAAGAAAAAGAGAAAUUUUAGAAGUAGAGCUUCAAAUAAAAAAAUUCGAACUCAAUAAAUUAUUAGGUAAUAGUGGUUAGGUAUGUCCCUACUAAAGUAAUUUUAAAUAAAAAUUGUAAUUUCUUUAAAUAAUAAAAUUAAUAAAAAAUGUA
Diabrotica virgifera virgifera (western corn rootworm) is the source of this 1105-nucleotide long non-coding RNA. RefSeq lists it as uncharacterized. The transcript is spliced from 5 exons. The record is from RefSeq and is a predicted model, not a curated record. Lineage: Eukaryota; Metazoa; Arthropoda; Insecta; Coleoptera; Chrysomelidae.